AUUGAACGCUGGCGGCAUGCCUUACACAUGCAAGUCGAACGGCAGCAUGAUCUAGCUUGCUAGAUUGAUGGCGAGUGGCGAACGGGUGAGUAAUACAUCGGAACGUGCCCUGUAGUGGGGGAUAACUAGUCGAAAGAUUAGCUAAUACCGCAUACGACCUGAGGGUGAAAGUGGGGGACCGCAAGGCCUCAUGCUAUAGUAGCGGCCGAUGUCUGAUUAGCUAGUUGGUGAGGUAAAGGCUCACCAAGGCGACGAUCAGUAGCUGGUCUGAGAGGAGGAUCAGCCACACUGGGACUGAGACACGGCCCAGACUCCUACGGGAGGCAGCAGUGGGGAAUUUUGGACAAUGGGCGAAAGCCUGAUCCAGCAAUGCCGCGUGUGUGAAGAAGGCCUUCGGGUUGUAAAGCACUUUUGUCCGGAAAGAAAUGGCUCUGGUUAAUACCUGGGGUCGAUGACGGUACCGGAAGAAUAAGGACCGGCUAACUACGUG
Molecule: ribosomal RNA, 490 nt
Filed under: uncultured bacterium
Lineage: Bacteria
Description: partial 16S ribosomal RNA
Rfam family: Bacterial small subunit ribosomal RNA
Source: RNAcentral